RNAcentral lists this ribosomal RNA (406 nucleotides) under uncultured bacterium. Its description in RNAcentral is "partial 16S ribosomal RNA". It matches the Rfam family "Bacterial small subunit ribosomal RNA", at positions 30 to 526 of the family's 1533-position model. The record is from RNAcentral.
AUUGAACGCUGGCGGCAGGCUUAACACAUGCAAGUCGAGCGAGCGGCGAACGGGUGAGUAAUGUCUGGGAAACUGCCUGAUGGAGGGGGAUAACUACUGGAAACGGUAGCUAAUACCGUAUACCCUGAGAUGUGCCCAGAUGGGAUUAGCUUGUAGGUGGGGUAAUCGCUCACCUAGGCGACCAUCUCGAGCUGGUCUGAGGGGAUGACCAGCCACUCUGGAACGGAGACACGGUCCAGGCUCCUCCGGGAGGCAGCAGUGGGGAAUAUUGCACAAUGGGCGCAAGCCUGAUGCAGCCAUGCUGCGUGUGGGAAGAGGGCCUUCGGGUUGUAAAGCACUUUCAGCGAGGAGGCGUUACUCGCAGAAGAAGCACCGGCUAACUCCGUGCCAGCAGCCGCGGUAAUUC